AGCUCUCUGGCAGGGUCCCCCUCUUGCCCUCACGGCCCUGGAGCACUUGAAGCUCGGCUAUCUCUUUCUGCAGGCCUGACUUCUCCUCCUCCAGCUCCUCUGUCUCCUGCAGAGGGAAGAGAGAGUCCUGUUCCAGAAUGAGAUGGUAUGGGCCAGAGCCUCACGGAGCAGAGAACAGCAUAUUCCACGGUGAAAAAAAGUUUCCAUCUGUCUCAAGGGUCUGACGAACGUCAUGAGCUUAUGAGAGGUUUCCUGUGGAGGAUGUGGCUCAGGGGCCUGGG
Molecule: long non-coding RNA, 281 nt
Organism: Enhydra lutris kenyoni (northern sea otter)
Lineage: Eukaryota; Metazoa; Chordata; Mammalia; Carnivora; Mustelidae
Exons: 3
Source: RefSeq, a predicted model, not a curated record